AUAUUGGGGAAUUGCCACUAAUACCACUUUGCUAAUACCACUUUUCAACUUUACACUUUUCAACUUUACCAUUAAAAUUUUAAUAGACAAAGUACAAUUAUACCCUUGAAUAAUUAAACCUAAAUUACUCACUUUCUCCCCCAAUUCUAAAUCUGAGAGUUCCCAGAUUGAUUUCGAAUUCGACGGUGAUCAAAUCCGACGACACUGACGAGUUCUUCGGACGGCGCUGGCGAGUUCUCCGGCGGAUUUGACGGCGCUGACGAAUUCUCCGACGAAGCUAAAAAACUCUACAAGCUCAGGUGAAAAAGACGAUCUGUCACUUUCUCCUUCAUUGAGAAAUAAUGACGAUGGCGACGAGCGUUGAUUCGCUUCUGGAGAAGCUCAAACAGGAGGAGCUUUACCUUUCCACCAAGUAAUUGGGAGUCCUUACAUUCUCAGAGCCGCCAAUUUCCUCCUCCAACUCGUGCUUCUCCUCUAUCUUCUUCCUUUGUCUCUGAAUUAAGCUUGGUUAGGUUGGUGUUGAAUGCCCUGCAAGGUGUUGAGUCUUCUCUUAUUAGCAUACAUAAGCUCUCUUAUGUAUUAUGCUCUCAGCCAGCUGAUAGGACAACCUACCAAAGUCUGAGCUUGUGGCAUCGGUUAUCAAGCACUGACGCCUUGGGACAGAUUCUUUGAAACAUAUGAUGCUUUGGUUCUUUGGUCUUUCUUCUCCAUAACUUCGUAGACCCAUUUCAUAAACUUCAAGUUGGAAGUUGUGGGACAGGGGGAGCUGUAAAGUAGGUGAAAAUGAAGAAGCCAAUAACAAGAGCUGCUAUACUCUUGUUAAUCAGGCUUUUGCUAUUGCUGUGAGAAAGGUCUUAGAAGGCUAUAUAUCUGUUCUGGAUACAUUAUGUGCAUCUGCAGAACUGAGGCGUUCAUCUAACAUUGUGGUAUUGUAAACCCAUUAUAAUUUUUUAUAAACCAUUAUAAAUUCAGAAACCCCAAGUAUCUCUCAAUGAAUCAUCUCAAUACUCAAUUAUACCUUUUUAUAAGGCCUUAUAAAAGAAACUGUAAAAGAAUGAUGUUCUUUAAUAAGCAAAGAAAUGGUGGAAAGUUGGUUAAUUUGGUGAUUUAUAAACUCUUAUAAAUAGAUUUAUAAACCUUGUAAAUUAAUUUAUGAACACUUAUAAAUAAAUGUAAAAACUCUUAUAAAUAGCUUAUAAGUUCUUGUAAAUAGUUUUAUAAACUCUUUUAAUAGCUUUAUAAAUAUUUAUAUAUGUUUUAAAAACUUUAUAGAUGGUUGAUACAAGGUUUUAUAAGCUCUUAUAAAAUUUAUAAGUGAUUUUAUAAAGGUAAUCCGCUUGAGGUAUUUAUUACAAUUUUUAUAUUUAUAAGGCCUUAUAAAAGAAACCGUAAAACAAUAUAUAUAUUUAGCCCUAUGUUUUUAUGUUUUCAGAGGGAAACACAAUUUUCAAGAAGAUUGGAGUUGCAGAAAGAGAGAGAAGACACAUGUUUUUAUAUGUAAUAUAUAUGUUCUUGACACAUAUAAGAGAAACAAGACACAUGUCUUUCUGUAAUAUAUAUGUGUAACACGUGUUCUUAUAAGUGAUUGUAAGCUGUAAAUCAUUUGUACUUUACAUUUACUCUAGUUUCUUUUUUAAGAAAAUUAGUAACGAGUAUCUUCAUGUAUUUAUAUCACCGAUUUUUAUUUUUAAACUUUUUAAACUUAUAAUAGCUUUAUGAAUAUUUUACUUCUAAAUGUAAAGAUUUAUAAAAUCUUAUAAAAGAUUUAUAAACUCUUGAAAAAGAUUUAUUUUCUCUUACAAAUUGUGCGAUGAAGAUUAUUAAACUCUUAUAAUAUUUUUAUAAACCCUUAUAUACAGAUUUAUAAGCCUCUAUAAAAUGUUAUAAGACUUCAUAAAAUAAUUACCUUCAUAAACUCUUAUACACUGCAGUAGAUAUUUUAUAAAGUAUUACAAAUCUAUUUAUAAACCUAUAUGAAUCAAUUUAUACAUUCUUGUAAAUCAAAAUAAAAUAUCCUAAGUCUACUGAUUGCUUGAAGAGCUCAUCAACUUGGUGCUCCCCAAUCCGCCAUGGCUAUAUGAUGAUGAUGCCUUCUACUCCUCUUGCUUGGUGGUUUGAUUCAGCUGAAUUCACACUCAAAGAAGACUAUAACGACUUCUUUCUGAAUGUAUGUUUCUUAAUGUCUCAAGAAGCAUUCAUCCUUCAGAUUAAGUACUAGUAACAAGCAACUAUCUUUUAACAAUGCUUCAUUUCUUAAUAUACUUACAACGCUUUGUCAUACACUCUACACCUGAUUUCAUGAAAUAAAAGGUUGUAACACUUCAAAAUACCACCUGAUUCUUCUGAUAUGUUUUUUGGCUGAAUAGAUAUUUCUCUAACAGCUUAAAAAGACUCUCUAAACUAUUUAUAAAUUUUUUGAUAAAGUCUUAUAAAACCUUUAUAUUUUUUUGUAAACCCUAUACAAACUCUUCAAAACCCAUUAAAAUCUUUUAUAAACCCUUAUAAAUCUUUUUUCUUGUCAACAUUCUUUUCAUUUAAGCCUCAUGGGCUGAAAUUGUGGGCACAAGUCUUUCGGCUUAGAGCCCAACACUUUGAUACACAAGAUUAAAUUCAUAAAAAUAAAGAACACGUGCAUGUUUUAUAAAGAGAUGAUGAUACGUGGCAGAUUCUGAGGCACAUGAGGACAGCGAACAAUGCUCCACCGCUUCAGACCCCACCGCUUCAGCUCCACGAACGAAGAAACCUCCUUUGUCGGACUUACAAAUCUUAUAUGUCUUUAUAAAUGGUUUAUAGACUCCUACAAAUAAUUUUACAUACCCUUAUAAAUUAUUUUAUAAUGGUGUAUCAAUUUUAUAAAUUAUUUUUAUAAACCCUUAUAAAAUAUUUAUAUACCUUUAUAAACCCUUAUAAACUAUUAUACAAACCAUUAUAAGUUGUUUUGUAAAGCUUUCUAAAUGGUUAUAGACUCUUUUAGUUGAUUUAUAAACCUAUACAACUCUUAUAAUACCCCUUAUAAAUUGAAUAUAUGCUUUCAUAACAUUUUUAUAAACUUUUAUAAAUAGUUUAUAAAUUGCUUUUAUAAACCCUUAUAAAUUAUUUACAUUCAUCAAUAAUCAUAGAUCUACCCCCAUUGGUUGAUCUGAGAAAGUGAACCAUAGAUCUUAGAAACUCUUACAAAUAAUUUAUAAAUAUUUAUAAAUCGCUUAUAAACUUACAAAAAUGUUUUAUAAACUUUUGUAAAUGAUUUAUAAACUCUUAUUUGCCCUUUAAAUUUCUUUUCUCUUCACUUUUAUCUUCUUUCAUGUGUUAUUGCUCUAUAUCAUAUACUGCAAAAAGUAAAUCCACAAAAUUUUGUUCCCAUUAACUUUUCUUCUUUUUAUAUCUUUGUUGAACUAAUUGUACAACACUGUCAAAAUAUAUGUCAUUAAGAUCUGGAUGCGUUGGGGUCACCAAAUGUUUGUAUUCCUUAGAGAAUCCAAACAUUGUAUUAACCAAAAGAUGUAACAAAUAACAAACAAGUUUUAUAAGUCUCCCAAAUCUCUAAUUUACAAAUUUAUAAACCCAUAUAAAACUACAUUUAUAAUCUUUUAUAAAAUGCUUCACAUUAUUGACCAAGACACCGAUUGGAUAAUCACUUUUGGAUUGUCUAGUGGAUCUGUUCCAGCUUCAUAAAUCCUCAGAGGAAUCACGAAGAUGUGCAAAAUUCAUUGCUAUCUAACUGCCUGACGAAAUAAAAAGAUAAUGUUAACUUUUAAUCGUGUAAAGAUACCUUAUCCAAGCAUAAUGUUCAUGUAUUUUGGUAACAGUCUUACAAAGAAUAUAGGAUAACACAACACAAGACUUCUCAUGUUCACACGUUUAUAUGUUGUUCUAUAGAUAUAUACGAUGAACUCUUGUUUAAAAACUUCUUUUAUAACACCUUGUAAAUCGUUGAGAUGUAUUAUCAGCAAUAUCCUAAAACCCAGAUUUAUAAGGGGUUAUAAUUCCUUAAUAUGAAGUGUACUAUUGGAAAAUACCUCUCUUAAAUCGACAUGUUCAAAUGAGAAGUCUGAAGCAUCAAUGAUAUGAACUUAAUAAAACGAUGAUAUGAACUUCUAAUCAUGGUCUAAGAUGGAUAAGCAUAGUGUUCAUGUAUUUCGACAAAAGUCUUACAAAUAAUAUAGGAUAACACAACAAAAGACUUCUUGAGUUCACACAUUUAUAUGUAUAGAUAUAUACAACUCUUGUUAAAAAUACUUCUUUUAUAGAACCCUGUAAAUCGUUGAGUUGCAUUAUCAACAAUAACCUAAAAUCUAGGUUUAUAAGGGGUUAUAAUUCUUUAAUAUGCAGUGUUUACUAUCGAUAAUCUCUCUCUUAGCCAGAACCCUUCAGAUGACAAAUCCAAAUUAACUGUAUUCUAUUUUUGGAUAACAGAAAGGAAAAAACCCUAAAAUUACUUAAAACCCAGAUUUAUAAAUGGUUCUAAGUUGCCAAACUCAAUAUUCACUAUCAAAACUGUUUCUUUUAGAUCAACAUGUUCAAAUGAGAAGUCUAAAGCAAUCUUGUUUGAUUGUUUCAUUGGAAACUUUUCCAGAAAUUAUAAGGAACCAAGAUAGACAGAACUGUCACUAAUCAGCCAAAAAAAAAAAACUAAAUCAACAUAUUUGGAAGAAAGAGAGAAGCAAAUUUAAAACGUCUUACUUUCAUAAUUCAUCGUAGAAAGAGCAAUUGAUACUAAAACACAAACUCGUUAAAGACAUACACGCUGAAUUUCAUGAAUACGACGACGGCGGGACUCGAUGAAGCAGACGACGAACUCGUUAAAGACAGACACGGUGAAGCUCAUAAAUACAGCAACGACAUGUUUGAGGAUGACGAAAGAGAAGCUUGACGAAGAAGACGACGAACUCGUUAAAGACGGACACCGUGAAACUCAUGAAUACGGAGACGGCGGAUCUCCACGAGAGAGAAGAUAGAUCUGAAAAGAGGCGUUUAUGGUUGAAGAUAAGGAAAGGUUAAUUUAGUCUUUUGCCAUUUAGUGAAGAAGGUAUUUUUGAAAAUGUUCAUUUAGUGGUGGUAAAAGUGAAAAGUGGUACACCACAAAGUGUAUUAUUGAAAUUUCCCCCAAAAUAUUUAUCAAUUGGACAUGAUCCUAUUUUAAUAGUAUUGAUAUCUUCUGUAGAACUCGCAAAGGAAAUGCUACUACGUCUUCUUUUAUUGUUGCAAAAACUUUACCAUUCAAUGUUGUGAAGCUGUUUUUUUUUCUUUCUGAAUACCAAGAGAUUUGGCGCCAAAGGCUCUAACCCUCCGAGCCCCGAAACCACAGCUGUGUGAACUCUCUGUUUUGGAACAUCAAAAUGAAUAAUGUGUCGUGUGCGAAUCAAGCAAAUUACUUGUGACAUUUCUUCCUAGUUCAGAUAUUGAAUCUGAAAGUGAAAUAUGUUACAACUCAACAGAAACUGCAGACCGCAGUCGAAGGUAGUUUUGCUUCUGCUUGUCAUCUUCAUUGUCCAAAUUUAUAAACAGAUUUACAAAUUUUUGUCAAAAAAUUCAUUAUAAACCCUCUAAAACCUUUGCAAAAUUUAUAAAACCUUAUCAAAUAAACCACAUUUAUUGUGCUUAUUCUUUGAAAAAAAAUAGUUUUUCUGACUAAAACUCGUUCCAUCAUCACCUUCUGGGCUCUAAAACGAGAGUGAAGAAUUACGGGGUAAAACUCAUUAAUUUUACACAAAUAAAACAGGCAUGUAAGCCCAUUUGUGAGGCCUAGUUGAGGCUUAUAAAAGCUUGUAAAAAUGUACUCAAAUUCAUGAGCCUGUGAUGCUUGGCAGUUAAUAACACGAUUUUUAUUUAUAAAAUAUUGCAAUAUGAUUUGGUGUAAAGUCUGUUUUGGUUAUACAAUUAAGAGUAAAAAUGAAUAAAACCCUAAAAAAAUAAAAAUACCUAUGAUGUGACUAGUUUGUGUCUAUGGAGAAAGGUAUAACAUUGUGGGAUUUAGGGUAUUUGGUUAAUUAGGGUAAAAGUCUAGUGUACGGGGUACAAUUUCCCUACAAUUAACACUACAGUCGGUUACUCGGCUUCGCUACACUAAUACUACACAACAGACGUAAAUACUAACUAAGCAUGAAUCAUGAUCCUAUUCUUUUGGUCAGGACACAAAAUUAUUAAUGCAAUUAGUGAUAAACAAAAAUAUCAUAUUUAAAUACAUUAUCAUUGUUAUGUGUAAUUAAGAUUACUGCAUGAUGCUAAAUGAACAUCAAACCCUAGUUAUAACAUCUUCAUAUGGAAACAACCAACAAAAUAAAGUAUAAUCCUGUUACAGCAGUCUGAUAAUUCCAUCAGCUUGACUAGAUCUUAUAACACUUGGUAUACACCUACACGGCCC
Brassica rapa (field mustard) is the source of this 6361-nucleotide long non-coding RNA. RefSeq lists it as uncharacterized. The record is from RefSeq and is a predicted model, not a curated record. NCBI's taxonomy places the organism in Eukaryota, Viridiplantae, Streptophyta, Magnoliopsida, Brassicales, Brassicaceae.